GGAGUCGUGGCCGAGUGGUUAAGGCGAUGGGCUAGAAAUCCAUUGGAGUCUUCACGCACAGGUUCGAAUGCUGUCGACUGCG
Ixodes scapularis (black-legged tick) is the source of this 82-nucleotide non-coding RNA. NCBI's taxonomy places the organism in Eukaryota, Metazoa, Arthropoda, Arachnida, Ixodida, Ixodidae. The record is from Rfam.